Ribosomal RNA from Flavobacterium indicum, 110 nucleotides. The record is from Rfam. NCBI's taxonomy places the organism in Bacteria, Pseudomonadati, Bacteroidota, Flavobacteriia, Flavobacteriales, Flavobacteriaceae.
UAAGGUGGUUAUUGCGUCGGGGCUCACCUCUUCCCUUUCCGAACAGAGAAGUUAAGCCCGACUGCGCCAAUGGUACUGCAUUACUGUGGGAGAGUAGGUCGCCGCCUUCU